RNAcentral lists this non-coding RNA (436 nucleotides) under Operophtera brumata (winter moth). RNAcentral's name for it is "Eukaryotic small subunit ribosomal RNA". It matches the Rfam family "Eukaryotic small subunit ribosomal RNA", at positions 644 to 1157 of the family's 1831-position model. Lineage: Eukaryota; Metazoa; Arthropoda; Insecta; Lepidoptera; Geometridae. The record is from Rfam by way of RNAcentral.
GGUCAUUAUCACCACAAUAGAUGGCGCUGUUUGCAACUUUAUACCAGGCUAUACCUAUAUAUAUACAUAUCGACUUUGUUUUAUAACUCAAGAAGUGGGCCGACAAUUUUACUUUGAACAAAUUAGAGUGCUCAAAGCGGGCUCAAAAUGCUGCUUGAAUAUUUCGUGCAUGGAAUAAUAGAAUAUGAUCUCGGUUUUAUUUUGUUGGUUUUCAGAACUCCGAGGUAAUGAUUAAUAGGGAUAACUGGGGGCAUUCGUAUUGCGAUGUUAGAGGUGAAAUUCUUGGAUCGUCGCAAGACGAACAUCAGCGAAAGGUGUUUUCAUCAAUCAAGAACGAAAGUUAGAAGUACGAAGGCGAUUAGAUACCACCCUAGUUCUAACCGUAAAUAUGUCAUCUAGCGAUAAAAUUGACGCAAUUUUGAAAAAAGAAAUGAAU